AAAGUUUUAAGACAAUAGUGGAAAUAUUUAAAAUUACAAGGACCACAUGUGAAAAUUAAGGAAACUUAAUUUCAAGGUUCAACAAUGGCGACCCAAUCUCGGAUGCGGUGGCAGCUUCCCUUUACGGUCCACCGGAGGCACGAAGAGAGGCUGAAAUCACCAUAAAGACCUCUUGGGACACCAUGGAAGAGAGGCUGAGGGCACGACGUUGAGGUUUCCCAUCGGACUUGAGAUACUGCAGAAGAGAAGAACUUUGUAGAAGAAAGGAGAUGGUUGUGGAGCUCGUCGUACCUGUGAAUUGCGGUGGAAAACUUGUCAACUUAGAUCAAUCAUGAUAUCUAUGGUCAUCUGUGACGGUAAAUCAGUCACUAUGAACUGAAUUUGUGGCUCAAUCUGGAAUUAGUAAAG
This 408-nucleotide long non-coding RNA is filed under the name Brassica napus (rape). RNAcentral's name for it is "long non-coding RNA (BNAP_LNC013836)". Lineage: Eukaryota; Viridiplantae; Streptophyta; Magnoliopsida; Brassicales; Brassicaceae. The record is from RNAcentral.